AGGGCGACCGGCCACACUGGGACUGAGACACGGCCCAGACUCCUACGGGAGGCAGCAGUGGGGAAUAUUGCACAAUGGGCGGAAGCCUGAUGCAGCGACGCCGCGUGAGGGAUGAAGGCCUUCGGGUUGUAAACCUCUUUCGACAGGGACGAAGCGUGAGUGACGGUACCUGGAGAAGAAGCUCCGGCCAACUACGUGCCAGCAGCCGCGGUAAGACGUAGGGGGCGAGCGUUGUCCGGAUUUAUUGGGCGUAAAGAGCUCGUAGGCGGCUCGUUGCGUCGGCUGUGAAAACCCGCAGCUCAACUGUGGGCUUGCAGCUGAUACGGGCGGGCUGGAGUUCGGUAGGGGAGACUGGAAUUCCUGGUGUAGCGGUGAAAUGCGCAGAUAUCAGGAGGAACACCGGUGGCGAAGGCGGGUCUCUGGGCCGAUACUGACGCUGAGGAGCGAAAGCGUGGGGAGCGAACAGGAUUAGAUACCCUGGUAGUCCACGCUGUAAACGUUGGGCGCUAGGUGUGGGGGGCCUCUCCGGUUCUCUGUGCCGCAGCUAACGC
This 551-nucleotide ribosomal RNA is filed under the name uncultured Actinomycetes bacterium. RNAcentral describes it as "bacterial SSU rRNA". It matches the Rfam family "Bacterial small subunit ribosomal RNA", at positions 297 to 858 of the family's 1533-position model. The record is from RNAcentral. Lineage: Bacteria; Bacillati; Actinomycetota; Actinomycetes.